Long non-coding RNA from Gallus gallus (chicken), 544 nucleotides. NCBI's taxonomy places the organism in Eukaryota, Metazoa, Chordata, Aves, Galliformes, Phasianidae. The record is from Ensembl.
UCCUUAUCUGCCACCCUGUUGCCGAUGCUUUCAUGAAAUAGAUGUCACAACCUAUUCAGACGUACCAGGCACCUGAUUUAUACUUCAUUACAAGGUAAAGUGGAUUGGCAUGAAGACUGUGGAUUUGGGCAGUCCAGUCAAGGCAGACAAUCACAAAGGGGAAGCAGAGGCCAUGUGAAGUUGCAGGGUCAAACAGUCUCAGGAUAUGGUCUGCAUGUUAGCACUGAGUCAUCCCCGGGGAUCCAGAAGAAUUCAUUUGGAGAAGAAAGCAGAAGAAGCUGCCCUGAGCCACCGCAAGUGAUCAAUCACAAUUACACUAGCAAGGAUGAACACUUAAGAGCCUGGUGCAAACCCCUGUGCUGCUGAAUGCUUCGACGAUGGUAUGCAAGAAAACAGGAAGUUUCAGGAGUCAGUCCUCCUGAGAUGGAGCCCCCAGCACAAGAAAUAAGUGGCCCUGUUGGAGAGAGUCUGGAGGAGGCCAUGAGGAUGCUCAGAAAGCUUAAGCACCUCUUCUUUGAAGGCUGAGGGAGCUGGACUUGUUCAG